This is a long non-coding RNA of Gossypium raimondii (Peruvian cotton), 453 nucleotides long. RefSeq lists it as uncharacterized. The transcript has 3 exons. Lineage: Eukaryota; Viridiplantae; Streptophyta; Magnoliopsida; Malvales; Malvaceae. The record is from RefSeq and is a predicted model, not a curated record.
AAUAGAAACAGAAUAGCAUGGACGAAACAGAGAAGGAAAGAAGGAAAGAAAGAAAAGAGAAAAUUGAGGUUUUGAGGUUCUAAGCUCAUUUGCUAAUGUCGUGCAAGAGUCAUUGUCCGAGAAAGGAAAGGAGAAGGUGGACAAGGAUUGACUUGAGAGAAAUUUCAGUUAGUAGAAAACAGUGUUCGGUCCAGCAUCCGGAGUAAUCCCAACCUCAGAAAAAUUUAGCGAUGUAUUUUUCUUUUGAUAACGUGGCAUGUACCUAAGUAAUGUUUAUACCUAAGUGAUGUAUAGGGAUUAGUCAAUUUGAAUGUUUGUAUCUAUGAUAUUGCUAAAGGAAGAUGUGUGAGUAUGUGAUAAUGUUUGGCUUUUAAAAUGGUUAAGUAUGAAUAUGUUUGGUAAUAUGUAUGUUUAGAUGAUAAAUCAUGCAUGGAAAUCAUGAAAGAGUAAAAA